This 497-nucleotide ribosomal RNA is filed under the name uncultured bacterium. RNAcentral describes it as "partial 16S ribosomal RNA". It matches the Rfam family "Bacterial small subunit ribosomal RNA", at positions 28 to 507 of the family's 1533-position model. The record is from RNAcentral.
GACGAACGCUGGCGGCGUGCCUAAUACAUGCAAGUUGAGCGCUGAAGGUUGGUACUUGUACCAACUGGAUGAGCAGCGAACGGGUGAGUAACGCGUGGGGAAUCUGCCUUUGAGCGGGGGACAACAUUUGGAAACGAAUGCUAAUACCGCAUAAAAACUUUAAACACAAGUUUUAAGUUUGAAAGAUGCAAUUGCAUCACUCAAAGAUGAUCCCGCGUUGUAUUAGCUAGUUGGUGAGGUAAAGGCUCACCAAGGCGAUGAUACAUAGCCGACCUGAGAGGGUGAUCGGCCACAUUGGGACUGAGACACGGCCCAAACUCCUACGGGAAGCAGCAGUAGGGAAUCUUCGGCAAGGGACGGAAGUCUGACCGAGCAACGCCGCGUGAGUGAAGAAGGUUUUCGGAUCGUAAAACUCUGUUGGUAGGGAAGAACGUUGGUGAGAGUGGAAAGCUCAUCAAGUGACGGUAACUACCCAGAAAGGGACGGCUAACUACGUG